UACAGGGGGUGCAACCGUUGCUCGGAAUCAUUGGGCGUAAAGCGCACGUAGGCGGUUCGUUAUGUCGGAUGUGAAAGCCCUUGGCUUAACCGAGGAAGUGCAUCCGAAACUGGCGAGCUAGAGUACUAAAGAGGAUCGCGGAAUUCCCGGUGUAGAGGUGAAAUUCGUAGAUAUCAGGAGGAACACCGGUGGCGAAGGCGGGUCUCUGGGCCGAUACUGACGCUGAGGAGCGAAAGCGUGGGGAGCGAACAGG
RNAcentral lists this ribosomal RNA (253 nucleotides) under uncultured bacterium. RNAcentral's name for it is "partial 16S ribosomal RNA". It matches the Rfam family "Bacterial small subunit ribosomal RNA", at positions 524 to 776 of the family's 1533-position model. The record is from RNAcentral.